RNAcentral lists this ribosomal RNA (480 nucleotides) under uncultured bacterium. Its description in RNAcentral is "bacterial SSU rRNA". It matches the Rfam family "Bacterial small subunit ribosomal RNA", at positions 30 to 506 of the family's 1533-position model. The record is from RNAcentral.
UUGAACGCUGGCGGCAUGCCUUACACAUGCAAGUCGAACGGUAACAGGUCUUCGGAUGCUGACGAGUGGCGAACGGGUGAGUAAUACAUCGGAACGUGCCCGAUCGUGGGGGAUAACGCAGCGAAAGCUGUGCUAAUACCGCAUACGAUCUACGGAUGAAAGCGGGGGAUCGCAAGACCUCGCGCGGACGGAGCGGCCGAUGGCAGAUUAGGUAGUUGGUGGGAUAAAAGCUUACCAAGCCGACGAUCUGUAGCUGGUCUGAGAGGACGACCAGCCACACUGGGACUGAGACACGGCCCAGACUCCUACGGGAGGCAGCAGUGGGGAAUUUUGGACAAUGGGCGAAAGCCUGAUCCAGCCAUGCCGCGUGCGGGAAGAAGGCCUUCGGGUUGUAAACCGCUUUUGUCAGGGAAGAAAUCCUUUGAGCUAAUACCUCAGAGGGAUGACGGUACCUGAAGAAUAAGCACCGGCUAACUACGU